This 326-nucleotide ribosomal RNA is filed under the name Mammaliicoccus sciuri. Its description in RNAcentral is "bacterial SSU rRNA". It matches the Rfam family "Bacterial small subunit ribosomal RNA", at positions 100 to 419 of the family's 1533-position model. Lineage: Bacteria; Bacillati; Bacillota; Bacilli; Caryophanales; Staphylococcaceae. The record is from RNAcentral.
GGACGGGUGAGUAACACGUGGGUAACCUACCUAUAAGACUGGGAUAACUCCGGGAAACCGGGGCUAAUACCGGAUAAUAUUUUGAACCGCAUGGUUCAAUAGUGAAAGACGGUUUCGGCUGUCACUUAUAGAUGGACCCGCGCCGUAUUAGCUAGUUGGUAAGGUAACGGCUUACCAAGGCGACGAUACGUAGCCGACCUGAGAGGGUGAUCGGCCACACUGGAACUGAGACACGGUCCAGACUCCUACGGGAGGCAGCAGUAGGGAAUCUUCCGCAAUGGGCGAAAGCCUGACGGAGCAACGCCGCGUGAGUGAUGAAGGUCUUC